This is a long non-coding RNA of Sebastes umbrosus (honeycomb rockfish), 1202 nucleotides long. RefSeq lists it as uncharacterized. The transcript has 5 exons. The record is from RefSeq and is a predicted model, not a curated record. NCBI's taxonomy places the organism in Eukaryota, Metazoa, Chordata, Actinopteri, Perciformes, Sebastidae.
UUACCGUUGCUAUGCCUGUCAAUUAGGUGCACCUGGUAAUCAACAUGGCGUCUUCAGCGACAUCAGUGAGAUAUUCAGACGGAAAUAAUAAGAAAUAUCUGUAAUAAUAGCUCUGAAACAUCAGAGAGAAGUAGACAGAAAGUACUACAAUAUGCGUUUGAGCGCUGUGUUCACUAUAUACUGGAGUAUUGUGACUGAAGAGGACGUUAAAAGCUCACGUGGAGGACAAACAUUUACAGCAACAACACAGUGAGUGAUGAUGUCGUCUGGCAUUUCACCUCUCAAAACCCAAGAACCGUUUUCUCAGUGAGCAGUAUGGAGGUGUUGCUGUACUUCUUGCUGGUCUCGGAGCCCAGAGUGACGAACCGGAGCAGGAACAGAGACAGACUGGAGCACCAGAUCACCAGCUCCCAGUUAUAGUGGCACUCCAGGAACGUUCCGUGGACGUGGAGCAACUGGUGGAAGAGAGGCUAGCACAUUAUUCAAAAUUACCUGGGCACAGCAGAUGAAGACGACGGACAGAGUGAGCAGGAAGGCAGACGACACGAUCACAUCAACUGAACGCUGAGGACCCCGUCUCUGCAAAUGCAACAGUAACAGAGUUACACAGUGAUUGUGGGUCUAUGCGUUCCAUUCACAACAGCAGAUGGAUUUGUAAAUAAAAACUCUGACGAAGCAUUUAAAGUCAACAGUGAGAGGCUGAACUGAUAUCACAGCUACAGUGCAUCUAUAAAAAGGGUGUGAACGUCAUCAGUGAGGUACCUUGAGGUAGGAGCGUAGCGACAGCCACAUCUUGAUGUUCUGAACUUUCUUCAGUCUAAAAUGGGGGACUUCGGACUUCCUGGCUCUGCGGGCUGAAGUCAGGUCCUCUCUGCGACACUGAGCAGGAAGAAGAAGAGCCAUAUAAGGCAAACGCGCACCAGGAAGCUCAGCGUUACCAUGGUGAUGACCAAGGUAUCUGAUCCAGUCCCGCCUCCCAGAGCCACAGACAGCAGCUCAUUGGCUGAGAGCGAGGUCAGCUGAUCGAAGUCACGGUACUGAGCCAGCCUGCAGGAGACGGACAAAGACUGACAUGAGUGAACCAGCCAACAUUGGAAUAUUUGUACUUUUAUAACUGUUAGUGAGCAUUUCCCCCGACUAUUGACAGUUUGUAAUAUGUAGUACCUUAUUAAAUAAAGUACUUUUUAAAUAUUUCUCCAGUC